GGCGGCUAGGCCGGGGCCGAGCGCGCGGCCGGCCAUGGAGGUGGAGGAGGCGUUCCAGGCGGUGGGCGAGAUGGGCAUCUACCAGAUGUACCUGUGCUUCCUGCUGGCGGUGUUGCUGCAGCUCUAUGUGGCCACGGAGGCCAUCCUCAUUGCGCUGGUCGGGGCCACACCGUCGUACCACUGGGACCUGGCGGAGCUCCUGCCGAACCAGAGCCACAGCAACCGGUCGGCUGGUGAGGACCAGGCGCUCGGGGCCUGGCUCCUGACGGCCAACGGCAGCGAGAUGCACAAGCACGUGCACUUCAGCAGCAGUUUCACCUCCAUCGCCUCCGAGUGGUUUUUAAUUGCCAACAGAUCUUACAAAGUGAGUGCAGCAAGCUCUUUUUUCUUCAGUGGUGUGUUUGUGGGAGUUAUCUCAUUUGGUCAGCUCUCAGAUCGGUUCGGAAGGAAAAAAGUCUAUCUCACAGGUUGUGCUCUUGACAUCUUAUUUGCUAUCGCAAAUGGGUUUUCCCCCUCAUAUGAGUUCUUUGCAGUAACUCGCUUCCUGGUGGGCGUGAUGAAUGGAGGGAUGUCGCUGGUGGCCUUUGUCCUGCUGAACGAAUGUGUGGGCACCGCCUACUGGGCACUCGCAGGGUCGAUCGGUGGCCUCUUCUUCGCAGUCGGCAUCGCCCAGUAUGCCCUGUUGGGAUACUUCGUCCGCUCCUGGAGAACCCUAGCCAUUCUGGUUAACCUGCAGGGAACAGUGGUCUUUCUCUUAUCUUUAUUCAUUCCUGAAUCACCUCGUUGGUUAUACUCCCAGGGUCGACUGCGUGAGGCUGAAGCCGCGCUGCACCUCAUCGCCAAGAGGAACCGCCAGCUCAAGUGUACCUUCUCACUAACACACCCGGACAGCAGGAGCUGCAGGGAGACGGGAAGUGUCCUGGACCUGUUCCGCUACCGGGUCCUCUUGGGGCAUACUCUGACCCUGAUGUUCAUCUGGUUUGUGUGCAGCUUGGUGUAUUAUGGCCUAACUCUCAGUGCAGGUGAUCUAGGUGGAAAUAUUUAUGCCAACUUGGCCUUGUCUGGCCUCAUAGAGAUUCCAUCUUACCCUAUCUGCAUCUACUUGAUUAACCAAAAAUGGUUUGGUCGGAAGCGGACAUUAGCAACAUUUCUGUGCCUAGGAGGACUGGCUUGUCUUAUUGUCAUGUUUCUUCCAGAAAAGAAAGAUGUGGCACUUGUCCUCCUCAGACACAGGUGUGUUCGCAGUGGUGAACAGCCAUUCCUUGUCCCUGCUGGGGAAGCUGACCAUCAGUGCUGCCUUCAAUGUCGUGUAUAUCUACACCUCGGAGCUGUACCCCACGGUCAUCAGGAAUGUUGGGCUUGGAACUUGUUCCAUGUUCUCCCGAGUUGGUGGGAUUAUUGCUCCCUUCAUCCCCUCACUGAAGUACGUGCAGUGGUCUUUACCCUUCAUUGUCUUUGGAGCCACGGGGCUGACCUCAGGCCUCCUGAGUUUAUUAUUGCCAGAAACCCUUAACAGUCCAUUGCUAGAGACGUUUUCUGACCUUCAGGUGUACUCAUAUCGGAGGCUGGGGGAGGAGGCGUUAUCUUUACAGACCUUGGAUCCCCCUCAGUCUGUGGACAAGGAGAGCCCUUUAGGGAGUGAGAGUGAGGAAGAGGAAGAGUUUUACGAUGCGGAUGAAGAGACACAGAUGAUCAAGUGACGUGCCCCAGAUUCCUCCUCAGACGCAGAGGGUCAUCUUCUCUGCCUCCAACGAGGGCAGGUUCUCCCAGGAAACUGAAGGGAGCUGUGGAAAGAUAGGCCUGAACAAACAUCGAAGGUACUCAGUGUGGCCUGAUGUUUUUUAGGCACGAAGGAAGUUGGAGAAGGGAUUUCAAGAAACAGGACAUCACUGCAUCAAGGGAAUAGUUGUUAACUGCCCACAAUUUGGGUUUAGCUCAAAAUCAUGACCUCUGGCCAGAUUGCUGAAGUCCACAUGCCAGAGUGGUAAGCUCAUUUGUUUCUAGAAGUUUGAUUACGUUGCCUUUCAGCUUCAUAGUGGCCUAAAGGCAAAUAUGUAAAAUUUCUUCUCACCAUUAACACGUAAUCUCUUUUGAGGCAGGUUGGUGUUAGCAUUUCAUUCACUUUUGUGCCAGAAGAAAAGCACUGAGAGGUCAUUUGUGUGGCCUGAGGCCCUCCACCUUCAUCCCAACGGAUGAAAUUUGGGUCCCCAGCUUGGUUCCUGGCCCAGUGAUUGGCUUGAGCUCCCUGUGCUUUCAGUCAGUCCCACAGAUGACCCGCUAGGAAAAGCCAGCUGCACCAGCGUAAUGUUCAGAGUCUGAGGUGUGGCUGCCUCUCCCUGGCAGCUCCCUUUGAUACUCGAAUUGUGUAAUUUCUUCAGUUCCCACUUGUGUGCACCUGGAGAAAAAUUUCCAUCUCAGAUUCUAGUACCAGCAAUAACUUCCAAACCAUGCCCAGUAAACGACGAAGUUUUAUAAAGGGGAGGGCAGCUAAAAAGUGACAUGUCAAGACUUUGGAUGUUAAAAAGGAAAAAAAAUGCUGUUUUUAAUAAGGAAGAAAAGAAAAUUAUCUUUCACCAUUUUCUGUUUGUUUUGUUUUCAGUGUUGUACAAGGAGGGACUUGGGCAACAUUUAAGAACUUGAACUCUUCUAGUCCUAGAUCAGCUCCAGCCUGUUUGGUUAGCUAGAAUGGAAGGCUCAGUAAUUUCCUAGUAAAUGUUGGUUUUCAUUAAGUACUGCCAGCUUUCAAAUAAAUCAAAGUCGUACUGUUUCCUAAAAUCAUGUGCUGAAAGUGUUUCCCAUGAAACCUGGGUAUUAUCUCAAAUAGGAGUGUUAACCUGGAGUCAACAAGCUUGGACAGUGUUACUUUAGGUCACUUUCCCAACUGGGAAAAUUUCUGUGUUUUCAGAAUUUCCAUUUCUGUUAAUCCCUUGGAGAAAAAGAAAUUUCACUGGAGAUAAAGAGAAGUCAUCACUGAGUCUGUUUCUGGAAAUCUUGGAGGACUCACCUCACAUUGGCUCCAACCCUGUCCUGUCCUCUUCCAUUGACAUCUUGGUUUGCACUAUACCAGCUUGUACCUUUGUUAAAGUAUUUUUAUGUCCUUCAUGCCCUUGAUUAUGUAUUGGGCUCUUUAUAAAUAGGGGCCAUCUCUAAUGCUGUUUAUUUCUCGCUGCUGUGCCCAGAACACAGUAAGUAUUACUGUUUCUAGCCAUCAGGGAAAUUGUAGAACUCCUCCCAGUAUCAUUUUUGUAAAUCACAGGCAAAUCUGACCCAAACUCCCAAAUUGUGGAAUCUCGCUGUCUUUCUCUGGGAAAUGGAGACCCUGCCCACCAUCAAGAGAGGAAGAAAGGAAGAACUUACAAGGACACUUAGAAGCUCUUCAUUGUGAAGUUAAACGUAAAACAAGAAACCAACACAUAGGUGAUUCUUGGUUGGUUGGAGCCCUCUUUGCAUUAUAAGAGUAAUAAUCCCAUUAUAAAAACAUGUGGAAACUAGAAGUUUAAAAAUGUAUUAGUCAUAGGCCCAACACCCAGAGACAACCAGUGUCAUGGCUUUGGUCUCUUUGAAGACCAACUGGGAAUCCAUCUUUCUAUUGGCACUGGGGUUCCCUCUGCCUCUGGCUAGAUAAUUGAGGAUUCCAUUAGUUCUGCCCCUGGGUAUCCUCUUUUCCCAGCUCCAGGGUAGAAGAAGGGAGGGAAGGGUACACAGUUUGAACACAUGUUGCUAAGGCUGGGCUAUCAGCUGCUCACGUCAGAUGUGUCACUAAAUUUUGUUUCUUCCUAGAUGGUCUUUUGGCAAAGUUUAAUAAUUACUGUUUUGGGGACUUCCCUGGUGGCACAGUGGUUAAGUAUCCACCUGCCAAUGCAGGGGACAUGGGUUUGAGCCCUGGUCCAGGAAGAUCCCACAUGCCGUGGAGCAACUAAGCUCAUACGCCACAACUACUGAGCCUGUGCUCUAGAGUCCGUGAGCCACAACUGCUGAGCCCGUGUGCCACAACUCCUGAAGCCUGCGUGCCUAGAGCCCGUGCUCCACAACAAGAGAAGCCACCGCAAUGAGAAGCCCGCGCACUGCAAUGAGGAGUAGCCCCCGCUCGCCGCAACUAGAGAAAGCCUGUGCGCAACAACAAAGACCCAACGCAGCCAAAAAUAAAUUAAUUAAUUAAAAAAAAUAAUAAUUACUGUCUUUUCAUCCCUUUGCCUUUUAUAAAAACAGAUUCUGUCCUUUUGCUAUUAACUGUUGAAAAAUAGUGGUUGUGGAGAUGGUGCACAUGAGCAUAUUUGUACUGAUUAAAUUAUUGGAAAACUCUUAA
Orcinus orca (killer whale) is the source of this 4306-nucleotide RNA transcript. It is a transcript of the gene named solute carrier family 22 member 15, with no coding region annotated. The transcript is spliced from 12 exons. The record is from RefSeq and is a predicted model, not a curated record. Lineage: Eukaryota; Metazoa; Chordata; Mammalia; Artiodactyla; Delphinidae.